This 565-nucleotide long non-coding RNA is filed under the name Phoenix dactylifera (date palm). RNAcentral's name for it is "long non-coding RNA (PDAC_LNC016491)". Lineage: Eukaryota; Viridiplantae; Streptophyta; Magnoliopsida; Arecales; Arecaceae. The record is from RNAcentral.
GGAGAGUUUCCUACGGGUGUGCGGCGGUUGGCACGGACCCCCGGCUCGCGAUCUCGGGCCGGGGGCGUGACAACUUUUAUGGUAUCAGAGCCAGGUUGGAUAAAUUCUAAGAUUAAAAAAAAAAAAACUCUGACAUGACAUGAGUGUAGGUGGGUAGACACUAGGGACAUUGGGACGUUAGUUUAUGAUGAUUGUAACAACCAAUCUAUGUACUUGUAAUGAACUGGUAAGUUUAUUAUUGGUAUGCUGCUAUCUGAUAGACAUAGAUCAGGAUGCCUCCACGUCGGACGAGAAAGACUACUCGCAGAGCUACUAAUAAGGCACCCAACCCGCAAAAUGACAGUACACCCCAACAAGCUAGUAACACCCCUCAGCAGGAGAGAGUCGUCAAUCCUGUUAGUGAUACUCAGACAGGACAACAAGAGCCAGGCCUAGGCCAAGUUAUGCAGACCAUAGUGGGCCUUAUGCAGAUGCAACAGCAAGUGCAACAGCAGUUGCUCCAACAACAAGCACAGUUGCCCCAGACACAGCCACAGCAAGGACGAGGGGAACAGUGUGAACAACG